GGCAGCAUGGUCUAGUGGUUUGAGUGUCGGACUACAACUCUGGAGACCGGAGUUCAUAUCCCCCGCUCAGCCA
Molecule: non-coding RNA, 73 nt
Organism: Phrynosoma platyrhinos (Desert horned lizard)
Lineage: Eukaryota; Metazoa; Chordata; Lepidosauria; Squamata; Phrynosomatidae
Source: the annotation of a GenBank genome assembly